Molecule: ribosomal RNA, 484 nt
Filed under: uncultured bacterium
Lineage: Bacteria
Description: partial 16S ribosomal RNA
Rfam family: Bacterial small subunit ribosomal RNA
Source: RNAcentral
AUUGAACGCUGGCGGCAGGCCUAACACAUGCAAGUCGAGCGGAUGAAGGGAGCUUGCUCCUGGAUUCAGCGGCGGACGGGUGAGUAAUGCCUAGGAAUCUGCCUGGUAUUGGGGGAUAACGUCCGGAAACGGGCGCUAAUACCGCAUACGUCCUUAGGGAGAAAGUGGGGGAUCUUCGGACCUCACGCUAUCAGAUGAGCCUAGGUCGGAUUAGCUAGUUGGUGGGGUAAAGGCCUACCAAGGCGACGAUCCGUAACUGGUCUGAGAGGAUGAUCAGUCACACUGGAACUGAGACACGGUCCAGACUCCUACGGGAGGCAGCAGUGGGGAAUAUUGGACAAAGGGCGAAAGCCUGAUCCAGCCAUGCCGCGUGUGUGAAGAAGGUCUUCGGAUUGUAAAGCACUUUAAGUUGGGAGGAAGGGCAGUAAGUUAAUACCUUGCUGUUUUGACGUUACCAACAGAAUAAGCACCGGCUAACUUCGUG